AUUGAACGCUGGCGGCAUGCCUUACACAUGCAAGUCGAACGGCAGCGCGGGAGCAAUCCUGGCGGCGAGUGGCGAACGGGUGAGUAAUAUAUCGGAACGUGCCCUGUAGCGGGGGAUAAC
Molecule: ribosomal RNA, 120 nt
Filed under: uncultured bacterium
Lineage: Bacteria
Description: partial 16S ribosomal RNA
Rfam family: Bacterial small subunit ribosomal RNA
Source: RNAcentral